GAGGGGGAUAACCCGUCGAAAGACGGACUAAUACCGCGUACACUUAGGAUAGGGCAUCCUAUCCCAAGGAAAUGAAAUUCGCUGUGAGAUAGGCAUGCGUCCCAUUAGCUAGUUGGUGAGGUAACGGCUCACCAAGGCGACGAUGGGUAGGGGAACUGAGAGGUUGAACCCCCACACUGGUACUGAGACACGGACCAGACUCCUACGGGAGGCAGCAGUGAGGAAUAUUGGUCAAUGGGCGAGAGCCUGAACCAGCCAAGUCGCGUGAAGGAUGACUGUCUUAUGGAUUGUAAACUUCUUUUAUACGGGAAUAACAAGAGCCACGUGUGGCUCCCUGCAUGUACCGUAUGAAUAAGCAUCGGCUAACUCCGUGCCAGCAGCCGCGGUAAUACGGAGGAUGCGAGCGUUAUCCGGAUUUAUUGGGUUUAAAGGGUGCGUAGGCGGCCUGUUAAGUCAGCGGUGAAAUCUAGGAGCUUAACUCCUAAAUUGCCAUUGAUACUGGCGGGCUUGAGUGUAGAUGAGGUAGGCGGAAUGCGUGGUGUAGCGGUGGAAUGCAUAGAUAUCACGCAGAACUCCGAUUGCGAAGGCAGCUUACUAAGGUACAACUGACGCUGA
Molecule: ribosomal RNA, 615 nt
Filed under: uncultured bacterium
Lineage: Bacteria
Description: bacterial SSU rRNA
Rfam family: Bacterial small subunit ribosomal RNA
Source: RNAcentral